Molecule: ribosomal RNA, 89 nt
Filed under: Klebsiella aerogenes
Lineage: Bacteria; Pseudomonadati; Pseudomonadota; Gammaproteobacteria; Enterobacterales; Enterobacteriaceae
Also listed under: 2 other names
Source: RNAcentral
CCUGGCGACGAGAGCGCGGUGGUCCCACCUGACCCCAUGCCGAACUCAGAAGUGAAACGCCGUAGCGCCGAUGGUAGUGUGGGGUCUCC